CUCUGCUUCAGUUCCUGCCUCCAGGCUCCUGCCUUUGAGUUCCUGCCCUGACUUCCACUCUCAAUGGUAAGCACUUUCCUCCCCAGCGUGCCUUUGGUUAUAGUAUUUGUCACAGCAAUAGAAAGCAAGUUAUGACAGAGGUCUUUUAAUUCACUGGUAAUUAUAAGAGAAAAUUAUUUGACAAACAAGGAAGGUAUAAAUAUAUCUCAUUCUACAAACAGCCUGAUCAGGAAACCAGCUUGACAUUAGUCAUGAUAGAUUUACCUGAGAACUAUUUGAUUGAUAGUAUCUAACACUAUAGCCAGUGAUAACCAAAACAUUACUAGGCCUGACAGCAAUGCACUAGAAAUGAUUCCUUUCUAAAGAAGGGAUAAAAAGAAAAAGUAUAAACAUAUAUACACCUAGCUGCAUCAUUAUUAAAGACCUAAAACGUGAUUAAAAAUAAUGAAAGCAGCCUAUGAAAAAUGAGACAUUUUGAUUGGCAAGUUCUUAUCAGAAAUAACAGAGCCUAGAUGAGUGAAGAGAGUCUUUGAGUGGUCAGACUGAAGCCCACAUCUUUCAUUAAUAUGGUAAAAAAAUAUACAGCAUGGCCAAGUAGGGCUUACUUUCUCAGGCACACACUCAGAAAAUAUAUAUAAGCUAUUUUACAAUAUUAAGAUGUUGAAGAGAAAAAACAGUACAUGUCUACUCUAAUAUCUACAGAAAAAAAAACAAAUUCAACAUCUAGACUUUAAAAAAAAAACCUGCCAAAUAAAACUAGAAACAAAUUUCUUUAGCCAAAUCUAAAAUCAGAAUGAAACAUUCAUACGAGUUACAGGCUUACUGUAAACUCGGCACACUUAGAUUCCAAAAGACGGUUCUACUCCCUUAUUAGUUUAAGGUUAUUUAAGCUACCCUUAAAAACAACAACAACAAUAAUGUCUAAUGUGGAUUUGGUCUAAUGUUUGUGUUAUGUUACUAGGGUCCCCCAAAUUGCACCAUAAUCUGCAUGUAAGAUGCUGAAGUUCCCUGUCCUCAGUUGAUUUUGAUUGGUAAAUAAAGUUGCUAGUGACCAAUGACAGGGCAGGGAGACAUAGGCUGGGCUUUAGGAUUCCCGGGCAAGGGACCAGGGAAUGAGGAAGAAGAUAGAGCUGCCAUGCAGGGAAAGACCAGGCCUGAGAGGUGCAGAAGAGAGAACAUAGCAAUCAUGUAAGAACUGUGGAAGAGUGGUCCCAGUCCCAGCCCCUCCUCUCACUCGGUCUAGGGCAGCAAAAAUGAAAUAUAGAUUUUAGUAAAUAUCAGUAAUAUCAGAGGGGAGGUGUUUACAAUGUGGAGGCUUGGGAGUGACUCAGUCAUUGAGCUGUUCAAGGCAUAUUAAGAUGUAAGGCUGUGUGUGUCUGUAUGUGUGUGUGUGUGUGUGUGUGUGUGUGUGUGUGUGUGUGUGUGUAUGUGUGUACAUGUGUAGUGUGUCUUUCAGGAACCCAGAACACGGGGGGAGGGGAGCAAGGAACUCAUAGCAGGCACCUGGUCCAUUAAGAAGAGAUUAAUUGGCAACUAUAACAAUCUACAACAUCAAAGCAAACAGAAAACAAGAAACAGAAAGAUCACAUUUAGUGUGAAACUGAUGAGCUUGCAUGCUUGAAGAAGAAAGUUGUCAUAAGAUGAGGGCUGCAUAGGUAGCUGUGAGUACAUACAUGAGACCAUAUGAACAAAUUUGAUACCUUACUAAAGUUGUAAGUGCAUGCCAGCAUAAAAAAAGGAAUACCAUUAGAGAAUAGUGUAUUUUUUGUCUCUUGGGAAAGCUGUUUUCUCAGUAUAAUAUUUGGAGUGGUCUGCUCUUUCUCUUGUUGAUUUGUAAUGUUUUCCAUAUUAUAUCCCCAAACCCCAUAAGCAUUUGAAUGUGUUUUAGGGCUUUGAAAAUGCUUAAACUAAAACAUUUAACGAUGCUAAAUAUUGUUAAGAUGUAGUUGCCUUUAUAAUUCUUAUAAAUUGACAAAGAGGCCAAUAAUUCAUAUCGCUACAUUGGAGAGGGAAAUUAGACACUAUAUUAUUACAUUGGACAAAAGACAUUCUUUAUCAUGCAAUGGAUUUACUUAUAUGCAUAUAACCAAGAAAACACCCAUGUUCAUGAAAGAUAGGCACAAAUUGAUGCAUUGUACAUUGUUAGUACAGGAAAAUGUCAGCAACAGAAACAUUUUUCUAUACUUAUUGGUGGGAAAGCUUUUGCCUAUUAGAAGAAGAUAAGUCGGUUGAAAAGUAUAAAUAUAAUCUAUAACAUCCACAUGGACAGAGCUCAAAAGCUAAUAAGGAAUAGCAUACAGCAAAUACUUAUUCCAGGAAAAUACCAUGUAUGAAAAGGUGUAGUCUAACAUGAUCUUAAGUACAUGUCUAUAACAUAGACAUGUAGUAAUCAGGAGUCAUUAUUCUUUUAUAAUUUCUUUAGAAUGAAAAGAGAAAAGUAGACAUCUAAUGAUAUUUUCUUUGUUUAAAAACAUCUAAGGCAAUAAUAUAAGUUAUUAACACUUGUUUACAUUAAAUAAUAAAUGCAGUGUCCAUUAUGUUCCAUAGUCUUCAUUAAACAGGAGAGAAUUUAUGCCUAUUAUUUUAACCUGGACAAGAGCCAAUUCCUGGAGAGAUCCCAGGCCAUG
This 2627-nucleotide long non-coding RNA is filed under the name Mus musculus (house mouse). Its description in RNAcentral is "long non-coding RNA chr1:24441446-24444073". Lineage: Eukaryota; Metazoa; Chordata; Mammalia; Rodentia; Muridae. The record is from RNAcentral.